UGCGUAGGCGGCCCGUUAAGUCAGGGGUGAAAGGCUGUAGCUCAACUACAGAAUUGCCUUUGAUACUGACAGGCUUGAAAUAAAUUGAGGUUGGCGGAAUGUGACAUGUAGCGGUGAAAUGCAUAGAUAUGUCAUAGAACACCAAUUGCGAAGGCAGCUGACUAGAUUUUAUUUGACGCUGAGGCACGAAAGCGUGGGGAGCGAACAGGAUUAGAUACCCUGGUAGUC
Molecule: ribosomal RNA, 228 nt
Filed under: uncultured bacterium
Lineage: Bacteria
Description: partial 16S ribosomal RNA
Rfam family: Bacterial small subunit ribosomal RNA
Source: RNAcentral